Molecule: long non-coding RNA, 880 nt
Filed under: Homo sapiens (human)
Lineage: Eukaryota; Metazoa; Chordata; Mammalia; Primates; Hominidae
Description: long intergenic non-protein coding RNA 293
Source: RNAcentral
AUAUCUAGGCAAAUUGCCUAGAAGUGAAUCCCCUCUCCUGCUUAAGUCCUUCCCACAGAGAGCGGUUUGAUAUGUCACUGAAACCAGCAUCCAGGUGGUAUUGCUCCAUAUGCCUGAGACCCUAACAAAAGCCUAAUUACAACUCAUAUGCCUGGAGCCAGGACAUGUGCAGGAUGACUCUGCCAAGAGAGGGGAUUAUUACAUAUUGCAGAGCCCAGCACCUAGGUGGAGUGACUCUCAUCUUUUUCUUCUACCCCGUAUAUAGCCAGCUUGGUGACCUACUAUUUGAGUCUAUACCCAGGCCCAGACCACAGAUGAAAUUGUGCAAUAUGUGGAACAAACACCUAAACAAUAUAUAACACCUUCCUUGGCUCUGUCUACAAAGGGCACUUUUAUAUAUCACUGGGACCAUCAACCAGGUGAUAUAACCCUCUUCUCUGGAAUGGGCCCCACACAAAGGAAGGAUAGUGACAUAUUGCAAGCCCAGGCACACAGGCCCAGAGCACAGUUGAAAUUGUGACAUAUGUACACCAAGCAACCAAGCAAUGUAUAACACCUCAUUUGGCAAUGGAAUCGAGGGCACUUUUACAUAUCACUGAGACCAGCGCCCAGCUGAUGUGAAAUAUUGGCCUGAACCCUGCCUACAAAAGCAUUGUGGCUUUUAUCUAGCUCCAUUACAUAAGUGAUGUGACUUCCUUCUACUGCCUUGGCCCUGCACUUAUGGUGAAUCGUGACACAAAAUUGGGUAGAGCAACCAGCCUGGGCCCUGACCAGCACAGAGAUUGAGGCAUAUUGCUGAACCCAGGACCAAGAUGAAGUCACUCUCCUGCCUUGAUCCUGCACACAGGGACCCUUGUGACAUAUAUACAGGCCAAUUGCC